UGCCGAUCGGUUCGGUUGUGCGGCCCUCCCCCCACCCCUGGGGGGGCGAAAAAAAACCGCUCCCCAAAAAAUCCCCGUCCCUCUUAAGCCCAGAGGAAUCGCCAAGUUGUUGCCUUGCAGAUUGUCAAUUCCUUGAAGGCAAGGGCCAUGUCUUCUACAUUUAUUAUACUCUUCAAAGCCUUUAGCAGUGGAAGCUCAAUAAAUGCUACUAAUUGACUGAUCAGAGCCACUAACAGUAUGCCAGGCUGGGCUGUCUGCCACAGCUCCCACCAUGCUGCAGUGAGCUCAGCCUGCUCCUCGUCAAGCAGAGGACGAUGGCCCGAGCCUCGGGAACAGCGGGGUGACUUGGAAGAUCGACCCUUCGGGAUUUGCGGAGCCACUGCUCGCUGCUCGGCGAGCCCAGGCACCAGCUUUUUCCCCGGACUACCUACCAGGGUGUCUGGGUGAAGAUGGUGUAAUCCAACUUGGGGCCGGGGCAAGAGGCACCUCUGGUCCUACUCUGGAGCCCCAUGGGGUGGCAGAAACCCUGGCCGGUUCCAGGCCCAGCCCGACCCGGGAAGCCGCUGCUGGCUGGCAGGGGAUAACAGUGGGGUCGCUAUCUUGGCUUCACUUCCAGUUCUUUUCAGGCUCUAAGGAGUUGGUUGGGCUAAUCAUGGAGAACCCUGACUCCCUCGACUGGGACUUUUCCGUGAACCAGAGGAGUUAACGCACUCCUCCCUUGUGCUCCCCAUUUCCUACCUACCCCACAUUUAAGCCAGCCAGUGGCAGGAGGGCCAUUUAGAUGUCCUGUCCUUAGGUGUUGGGUAACGACUACUGGUGAAGAGAAGUAGUAAUCGUAGCAGCAUUUAUUGAGUUCCCACUUUGUGCAAUGCAUCAAACUCAGUGCUUGACUAAUAAUAAUCAUUAUGGGAUUUAAGCGCUUAUUAUGUGUCG
This is a long non-coding RNA of Ornithorhynchus anatinus (platypus), 933 nucleotides long. RefSeq lists it as uncharacterized. The record is from RefSeq and is a predicted model, not a curated record. Lineage: Eukaryota; Metazoa; Chordata; Mammalia; Monotremata; Ornithorhynchidae. The transcript has 3 exons.